UACAGAGGUCCCAAGCGUUACUGAGAAUCACUGGGUUUAAAGGGUGCGUAGGUGGUCCGUUAAGUCAGUUGUGAAAUCCCCGGGCUCAACCCGGGAACUGCUUCUGAUACUGGCGGACUUGAGGCCAGUAGGGGUCACUAGAACUGACGGUGGAGCGGUGAAAUGCGUAGAUAUCGUCUGGAACGCCGAAGGUGAAAACAGCUCGCUGGGGCUGCGCUGACGCUGAGACACGAAAGCCAGGGGAGCGAACGGG
Molecule: ribosomal RNA, 253 nt
Filed under: uncultured bacterium
Lineage: Bacteria
Description: partial 16S ribosomal RNA
Rfam family: Bacterial small subunit ribosomal RNA
Source: RNAcentral